RNAcentral lists this ribosomal RNA (451 nucleotides) under uncultured bacterium. Its description in RNAcentral is "bacterial SSU rRNA". It matches the Rfam family "Bacterial small subunit ribosomal RNA", at positions 335 to 774 of the family's 1533-position model. The record is from RNAcentral.
ACUCCUACGGGAGGCAGCAGUGGGGAAUAUUGGACAAUGGGCGAAAGACCUGAUCCAGCCAUGCCGCGUGUGUGAAGAAGGUCUUCGGAUUGUAAAGCACUUUAAGUUGGGAGGAAGGGUUGUAGAUUAAUACUCUGCAAUUUUGUACGUUACCGACAGAAUAAGCACCGGCUAACUCUGUGCCAGCAGCCGCGGUAAUACAGAGGGUGCAAGCGUUAAUCGGAAUUACUGGGCGUAAAGCGCGCGUAGGUGGUUUGUUAAGUUGGAUGUGAAAUCCCCGGGGCUCAACCUGGGGAACUGCAUUCAAAACUGACUGACUAGAGUAUGGUAGAGGGUGGUGGAAUUUCCUGUGUAGCGGUGAAAUGCGUAGAUAUAGGAAGGAACACCAGUGGCGAAGGCGACCACCUGGACUAAUACUGACACUGAGGUGCGAAAGCGUGGGGAGCAAACA